CUACGGGAGGCAGCAGUGGGGAAUAUUGGACAAUGGGCGGAAGCCUGAUCCAGCAACGCCGCGUGAGGGAUGACGGCCUUCGGGUUGUAAACCUCUUUCAGCACAGACGAAGCGAAAGUGACGGUAUGUGCAGAAGAAGCACCGGCCAACUACGUGCCAGCAGCCGCGGUAAUACGUAGGGUGCGAGCGUUGUCCGGAAUUAUUGGGCGUAAAGGGCUCGUAGGCGGUUUGUCGCGUCGGGAGUGAAAACACACAGCUUAACUGUGUGCUUGCUUCCGAUACGGGCAGACUAGAGGUAUGCAGGGGAGAACGGAAUUCCUGGUGUAGCGGUGAAAUGCGCAGAUAUCAGGAGGAACACCGGUGGCGAAGGCGGUUCUCUGGGCAUUACCUGACGCUGAGGAGCGAAAGUGUGGGGAGCGAACAGGAUUAGAUACCCGCGUAGUCCC
This 446-nucleotide ribosomal RNA is filed under the name uncultured bacterium. Its description in RNAcentral is "bacterial SSU rRNA". It matches the Rfam family "Bacterial small subunit ribosomal RNA", at positions 339 to 797 of the family's 1533-position model. The record is from RNAcentral.